AGAUAAAAUGCGACUCCUUGCCCUCACCGCGGUGUGGGUGACAUUCAUCACGGCUCUGAGCGAUGAUGAUUCCGUGAUUCAGCAUGAGUCCGCGCUCACAAUGACAGAGGAGCAGCACGUCACUUUAACCUGCAGCUACACCAGUGCUACUUAUUAUGUAUAUUGGUAUCGCCAGAACCCAUCCGGACGGCUCGAGUUUGCGGUCCUGAGAGCCACUACUGGCGGAUAUGCACUUAAGGCGGACUUUGCUGAAGGCCGGUUUUCUGAUGUAGUCCAGCGGUCAAAGGAGGAGUAUCGAUUGACAAUCCCGGCGCUACGGUUGUCUGACACAGCGAUGUAUUACUGUGCGGGGACUCACAAUAACAUGAACGGGCUAAAUCCUCGUGCAGUAACUGCCGCAGAUUUUGGGGCACAGCUGUUGUCUGUUACGGGCCGCUUGUAA
Molecule: non-coding RNA, 442 nt
Organism: Pristis pectinata (smalltooth sawfish)
Lineage: Eukaryota; Metazoa; Chordata; Chondrichthyes; Rhinopristiformes; Pristidae
Source: the annotation of a RefSeq genome assembly